CCUACGGGUGGCAGCAGUAGGGAAUAUUGGGCAAUGGACGAAAGUCUGACCCAGCCAUGCCGCGUGCAGGAUGACUGCCCUAUGGGUUGUAAACUGCUUUUCUAUGGGAAGAAACACUCAUACGUGUAUGAACUUGACGGUACCAUAGGAAUAAGGAUCGGCUAACUCCGUGCCAGCAGCCGCGGUUAUACGGAGGAUCCAAGCGUUGUCCGGUUUCAUUGGGGUGAAAGGGUACUUAGGAGUCAGAGGUGAAAUCUUGCGGCUCAACCGUACAAUUGCCUUUGAAACUGGUAGUCUUGAGUUCGGUCGAGGUGGAUGGAAUGUGUCAUGUAGCGGUGAAAUGCUUAGAUAUGACCCAGAACACCAAUUGCGAAGGCAGUUCACUAGACCGAUACUGACGCUGAGGCACGAAAGCGUGGGGAGCGAACAGGAUUAGAUACCCUGGUAGUC
This 450-nucleotide ribosomal RNA is filed under the name uncultured bacterium. RNAcentral describes it as "partial 16S ribosomal RNA". It matches the Rfam family "Bacterial small subunit ribosomal RNA", at positions 338 to 795 of the family's 1533-position model. The record is from RNAcentral.